CCUGCCCAGAAGCGGGGGAUAACACCUGGAAACAGAUGCUAAUACCGCAUAACAACUUGGACCGCAUGGUCCGAGCUUGAAAGAUGGCUUCGGCUAUCACUUUUGGAUGGUCCCGCGGCGUAUUAGCUAGAUGGUGGGGUAACGGCUCACCAUGGCAAUGAUACGUAGCCGACCUGAGAGGGUAAUCGGCCACAUUGGGACUGAGACACGGCCCAAACUCCUACGGGAGGCAGCAGUAGGGAAUCUUCCACAAUGGACGAAAGUCUGAUGGAGCAACGCCGCGUGAGUGAAGAAGGGUUUCGGCUUGUAAAACUCUGUUGUUAAAGAAGAACAUAUCUGAGAGUAACUGUUCAGGUAUUGACGGUAUUUAACCAGAAAGCCACGGCUAACUACGUGCCAGCAGCCGCGGUAAUACGUAGGUGGCAAGCGUUGUCCGGAUUUAUUGGGCGUAAAGCGAGCGCAGGCGGUUUUUUAAGUCUGAUGUGAAAGCCUUCGGCUCAACCGAAGGAGUGCAUCGGAAACUGGGAAACUUGAGUGCAGAAGAGGACAGUGGAACUCCAUGUGUAGCGGUGAAAUGCGUAGAUAUAUGGGAAGAAACACCAGUGGCGAAGGCGGGCUGUCUGGUCUGUAAACUGACGCUGAGGCCUCGAAAGU
This 654-nucleotide ribosomal RNA is filed under the name uncultured bacterium. RNAcentral describes it as "bacterial SSU rRNA". It matches the Rfam family "Bacterial small subunit ribosomal RNA", at positions 125 to 760 of the family's 1533-position model. The record is from RNAcentral.